AUGCCCUCCGCAAGGACUGCCCCUCUUCUCUGGCGCUCCUCGGCCGUCCCCGACCCUUUGCCUGGUCGCCAGGGACGUGCUGCUCCACGCCUGCUCCAGCCGGGGGCCGUCGCCCGCCGCGCCGGCUCUGGCGCUUUGCUCCGGCCAAUCCCGGGCUGCUCGCCUGCUCGGCCGGGCUCUGCCGCCCAGGACUUGCUGUCAACAAACAACAAUCAGGCUGGGACAGGGGUUUUACAAAGCGAUGGACCAACUAUUACAGAAAAGGUAAGAGCUUUGGCUGGAAAACCCAACAUAGACGGGGUGUGCUAUAGUGGCUAUGUCAUCAACAACUUCAGGUUCCACACGAUGAGUCAUGAGUCAGGGCAUGUCACACAAAAUAGUGGUGUAGUGAACAUUGCAGAAAAUGGUGUUAGACAUUAUGGCAGAUUAAGUGGCAUCUUUGAAUUGUCAUACAAUGAUUACAAGGUGGUGUUCUUUAAUUGUGAUUGGUAUGAUGUCUACCAUGAAGUUGGCAUUCAAACAGAUGAGUUUGGGUUCACUCUUGUGAACAAGUCUGGGAAAAUACACACAGGGGAUGAGCUAGAAGAUGAUCCUUUUGUAUUUUCCUCCCAAGUGCAGCAGAUUUUCUUUGUUCAAGAUCCAAAAGCUGAACUAUGGAAUGUAGUAGUGGAAGUCAGGCCUCAUGAUCUUUUUGACAUGGGUGCUGAAGAAUCAUUGGAUGAAACAGAUUAG
Molecule: ribosomal RNA, 732 nt
Filed under: Triticum aestivum (bread wheat)
Lineage: Eukaryota; Viridiplantae; Streptophyta; Magnoliopsida; Poales; Poaceae
Description: partial small subunit ribosomal RNA
Source: RNAcentral